This 497-nucleotide ribosomal RNA is filed under the name uncultured bacterium. RNAcentral's name for it is "partial 16S ribosomal RNA". It matches the Rfam family "Bacterial small subunit ribosomal RNA", at positions 28 to 507 of the family's 1533-position model. The record is from RNAcentral.
GAUGAACGCUGGCGGCGUGCCUAAUACAUGCAAGUCGAGCGAACAGACGAGGAGCUUGCUCCUCUGACGUUAGCGGCGGACGGGUGAGUAACACGUGGAUAACCUACCUAUAAGACUGGGAUAACUUCGGGAAACCGGAGCUAAUACCGGAUAACAUGUUGAACCGCAUGGUUCAACAGUGAAAGACGGUUUUGCUGUCACUUAUAGAUGGAUCCGCGCCGCAUUAGCUAGUUGGUAAGGUAACGGCUUACCAAGGCAACGAUGCGUAGCCGACCUGAGAGGGUGAUCGGCCACACUGGAACUGAGACACGGUCCAGACUCCUACGGGAGGCAGCAGUAGGGAAUCUUCCGCAAUGGGCGAAAGCCUGACGGAGCAACGCCGCGUGAGUGAAGAAGGUCUUCGGAUCGUAAAACUCUGUUAUUAGGGAAGAACAAAUGUGUAAGUAACUAUGCACGUCUUGACGGUACCUAAUCUGAAAGCCACGGCUAACUACGUG